CCUACGGGAGGCAGCAGUGGGGAAUAUUGCGCAAUGGGCGAAAGCCUGACGCAGCGACGCCGCGUGAGGGAUGAAGGUCUUCGGAUCGUAAACCUCUGUCAGCAGGGAAGAACGGUCACUGUGCUAAUCAGCAGUGAAUUGACGGUACCUGCAAAGGAAGUACCGGCUAACUCCGUGCCAGCAGCCGCGGUAAUACGGAGGGUGCGAGCGUUAAUCGGAUUUACUGGGCGGAAAGGGGGCGUAUGCGGUAUGUGAAGUCCAGGGUGAAAACCCCGGGCUCAACCCGGGAACUGCCUUUGAAACUGGCAAACUUGAGUGUGAGAGAGGAAAGUGGAAUUACAGGUGUAGGGGUGAAAUGCGGAGAUAUCUGGAAGAACACCAGUGGCGAAGGCGACUAUCUGGCACAUAACUGACGCUGAGGAGCGAAAGCGUGGGUAGCAAACAGGAUUAGAUACCCCAGUAGUC
Molecule: ribosomal RNA, 465 nt
Filed under: uncultured bacterium
Lineage: Bacteria
Description: partial 16S ribosomal RNA
Rfam family: Bacterial small subunit ribosomal RNA
Source: RNAcentral